CGGGAAGAAUUAAUUAAAUAAUUUUUUGUAAUCUUCCGACUAGUGUAGGUCGUAAUAUUAUAUUAGAAGAUCUGGACGCUUUUGCCCUUUUUCCUCUCUUGUCUAUUCUCCUCGCAUGUUCCUCGAGCACAAAAUUUGAGUAAUUUUCGAUUACCCAGUGAAACUUGCUGUGGAACUUGAAACUGCUGCACGGUUGAGGGCUUCUGUGACAAAAUAGAGGCGAAGCCAGGAUUUUGGGUUCUGAACUUGCCAUUGAACUUAUAGAUUGUCUUAGUUACUAAGUUUGCUAGCUACGCCCUUGGUGACAACUUUAAUGGCGGAUAAUUGGAUACCUACUAGAGGAUGGAUGUUUGCCCCCAGCGAUACUGAAAUGCUUGAUAUUCUGGAAGAUUAUGCAACGGGACGAGCCAACCCGCCUCAAGCUACAAUCAACUUUGCAGAUGUGUAUGGCGAUAUAAACCCAUCGGUCUUCUUUGCUCGUGCUGUCGGAGACCCUUCAAAUCCAACAGUCAAAUACUUCGUGACUACUACGAAGGAAAUUUCAGCAUCAAGGUUCUCGAAAAGUUUCUGGAAAGAAGACAGCCAACCUAUAGGCAUUAUUAAUGAAGCCACGGGUGAAAAAAGAGGUUUCAAGAAGCGCAUGAAGCUUCAGAUGGAUAAUAGCUGGUGGAUAAUGAUGGAGUAUUCAUUAAAUUCAAAUAUACCAGGAGUUCAAGAAGAUUUAAAAAUGAAGUCAUCUGCCGAGUAAGGAGAAUUCCAACCAACAAUCCUGAGGCCCAGGCCCAACAACAGUAAGAAACCCAAGCCCAGCAACAGCAAGAGGCCCAAGCCCAGCAACAACAGGAAGGAGAGCUGAUCAUUGACUUACAACUAAAGUUGUGAUUUGGUAGCAUAGGAUACGAUUUUCCCGAUAUACACAUUUUUGGUGACUAAGAUAUCAUAUCGUACUACUGAUAUACGCUCUCCUACCCAAUUUGUCUGAUACACUUGGGAUUUCAAGAAUCAAAUGAGCUUUUCUUUUAGCAUAAUUUUGUCAUAUGCCUUUUGGAUGGUUAAUUAUUGUGACUUAUAGAACU
Molecule: long non-coding RNA, 1076 nt
Organism: Lycium ferocissimum
Lineage: Eukaryota; Viridiplantae; Streptophyta; Magnoliopsida; Solanales; Solanaceae
Exons: 3
Source: RefSeq, a predicted model, not a curated record